UAGUCCACGCCGUAAACGAUGUCAACUAGCCGUCUGUAGACUUGAUCUGUGGGUGGCGUAGCUAACGCGCUAAGUUGACCGCCUGGGGAGUACGGCCGCAAGGUUAAAACUCAAAUGAAUUGACGGGGGCCCGCACAAGCGGUGGAGCAUGUGGUUUAAUUCGAUGCAACGCGAAGAACCUUACCAUCCCUUGACAUCCAGAGAAUUUUCUAGAGAUAGAUUAGUGCCUUCGGGAACUCUGAGACAGGUGCUGCAUGGCUGUCGUCAGCUCGUGUCGUGAGAUGUUGGGUUAAGUCCCGCAACGAGCGCAACCCUUGUCCCUAGUUGCCAGCACAUAAUGGUGGGAACUCUAGGGAGACUGCCGGUGACAAACCGGAGGAAGGUAGGGAUGACGUCAAGUCAUCAUGGCCCUUAUGGGUAGGGCUACACACGUGCUACAAUGGUCGGUACAGAGGGUUGCCAACCCGCGAGGGGGAGCUAAUCUCAGAAAACCGAUCGUAGUCCGGAUUGG
Molecule: ribosomal RNA, 511 nt
Filed under: uncultured bacterium
Lineage: Bacteria
Description: bacterial SSU rRNA
Rfam family: Bacterial small subunit ribosomal RNA
Source: RNAcentral